GAUGAAGAACGUAGCGAAAUGCGAUAAGUAAUGUGAAUUGCAGAAUUCAGUGAAUCAUCGAAUCUUUGAACGCACAUUGCGCCCGCCAGUAUUCUGGCGGGCAUGCCUGUUCGAGCGUCAUUUCAACCAUCAAGCCCUGGGCUUGUGUUGGGGACCUGCGGCUGCCGCAGGCCCUGAAAUGCAGUGGCGGGCUCGCAAGACACACCGAGCGUAGUAGCUUACAACCUCGCUUUGGGAGUGCUGCGGGUGCUGGCCGUAAAGCGACCUUUGCGUCUUUAGCACUAGGUUGACCUCGGAUCAGGUAGGAGGACCCGCUGAACUUAAGCAUAUCAAUAAGCGGAGGA
This 344-nucleotide unclassified non-coding RNA is filed under the name soil metagenome. Its description in RNAcentral is "partial contains 5.8S ribosomal RNA, internal transcribed spacer 2, and large subunit ribosomal RNA". The stretch from base 1 to 120 matches the Rfam family "5.8S ribosomal RNA", at positions 35 to 154 of the family's 154-position model. The record is from RNAcentral.